Megalobrama amblycephala (Wuchang bream) is the source of this 706-nucleotide long non-coding RNA. RefSeq lists it as uncharacterized. The transcript has 2 exons. The record is from RefSeq and is a predicted model, not a curated record. NCBI's taxonomy places the organism in Eukaryota, Metazoa, Chordata, Actinopteri, Cypriniformes, Xenocyprididae.
ACAACGCCUCUCAUGAACCAUUUCCAGGGAAUAAUCAAUGGUGCAUUGCUUGACCUUGAUGGUGAAUGCAACAUUUAUUAUGCUCCAGCAUUUAUCUCCAGUUUGGCAAAAUAUUUCCUUCCACAUGCCACUCUGUGGUCUGGAAUGAUGCUAGGUAGGUUUGAGUCAUUGGUUUAAGAUGACAAAUUAUUCAAUACAGCAUUUGUGUCCAGUUCUUUCACAAACUUUAAAUGGUCUUCAGGGGAUCUAGGACGUCACGGGACGGGCCCUGUGUACCAUCAACUAAGUAGAGUGUACAACAAGGUUAAACAGUCAAAGAAACAGAACUUUACUCAAGAUAACCGCACCCAAGGUAUUAUGGAAAAAAGUCAAUGGGACCUAAAGAACAUCCGGUUCCAAAGGAGGAGGUGCAAAAGGCUUGAUGACUUUGUAGCAGUUUACCAACACAUGCAUGAUGCUCUCCUCCUUGAAUAUGCGGAUAUGGAGAGAUGCAGGAAAAAAGUAUGGAAUACUACUUAAAGUCAGUUCAGUGUAAAUGCCUUACUUGGUAGUUUAACCUGAUCACAAUUUUUGUAUAUAUGUGGGUUUGUGUCUGAAAACAUGUAUAUAUUGAAGUCAUUUAAAGUGGAAAUGGAGGUGUGGAAAAAAAGCAGGAAGCGUAAAGGCAUGUACGUUUCACCGUCAGUGAUGGACCUGUCUUUCAAGG